GAUGAACGCUGGCGGCGUGCCUAAUACAUGCAAGUCGAGCGAACGGACGAGAAGCUUGCUUCUCUGAUGUUAGCGGCGGACGGGUGAGUAACACGUGGAUAACCUACCUAUAAGACUGGGAUAACUUCGGGAAACCGGAGCUAAUACCGGAUAAUAUUUUGAACCGCAUGGUUCAAAAGUGAAAGACGGUCUUGCUGUCACUUAUAGAUGGAUCCGCGCUGCAUUAGCUAGUUGGUAAGGUAACGGCUUACCAAGGCAACGAUGCAUAGCCGACCUGAGAGGGUGAUCGGCCACACUGGAACUGAGACACGGUCCAGACUCCUACGGGAGGCAGCAGUAGGGAAUCUUCCGCAAUGGGCGAAAGCCUGACGGAGCAACGCCGCGUGUAUGAUGAAGGUCUUCGGAUCGUAAAACUCUGUUAUUAGGGAAGAACAGAUGUGUAAGUAACUGUGCACAUCUUGACGGUACCUAAUCAGAAAGCCACGGCUAACUACGUG
Molecule: ribosomal RNA, 497 nt
Filed under: uncultured bacterium
Lineage: Bacteria
Description: partial 16S ribosomal RNA
Rfam family: Bacterial small subunit ribosomal RNA
Source: RNAcentral